RNAcentral lists this ribosomal RNA (664 nucleotides) under uncultured bacterium. RNAcentral describes it as "bacterial SSU rRNA". It matches the Rfam family "Bacterial small subunit ribosomal RNA", at positions 8 to 683 of the family's 1533-position model. The record is from RNAcentral.
AGAGUUUGAUCCUGGCUCAGGACGAACGCUGGCGGCGCGCCUAACACAUGCAAGUCGAACGGAGCAAAGAGGAGCUUGCUUUUCUUUGCUUAGUGGCGAACGGGUGAGUAACGCGUGAGUAACCUGCCCUGGAGUGGGGGACAACAGUUGGAAACGACUGCUAAUACCGCAUAAGCCCACGGAGCCGCAUGGCUCUGAGGGAAAAGGAUUUAUUCGCUUCAGGAUGGACUCGCGUCCAAUUAGCUAGUUGGUGAGGUAACGGCCCACCAAGGCGACGAUUGGUAGCCGGACUGAGAGGCUGAACGGCCACAUUGGGACUGAGACACGGCCCAGACUCCUACGGGAGGCAGCAGUGGGGGAUAUUGCACAAUGGGGGAAACCCUGAUGCAGCGACGCCGCGUGGAGGAAGAAGGUUUUCGGAUUGUAAACUCCUGUCGUUAGGGACGAUAAUGACGGUACCUAACAAGAAAGCACCGGCUAACUACGUGCCAGCAGCCGCGGUAAAACGUAGGGUGCAAGCGUUGUCCGGAAUUACUGGGUGUAAAGGGAGCGCAGGCGGACCGGCAAGUUGGAAGUGAAAACCAUGGGCUCAACCCAUGAAUUGCUUUCAAAACUGCUGGCCUUGAGUAGUGCAGAGGUAGGCGGAAUUCCCGGUGUAGCGGUG